AUGAAUCAAUUAUAUUUUCCCAUCCCUGUCCCUUUGGAAGUAUCAAUUCAGGCAAGGGGAGUCCAUGCUGUUUGCACAAUAUGGCUAAUUUUUCAAGUGUGGCCAGUAAAGCCUUCAGGAGACAUAUGCCUUUCAAAGGAAUCAAAGACAGAGCAAACUCUUUGGUUUGACCUCCAGUUAGAUUCUGCUCUGUGCUACAUUCUCUUUUUUUUCUUUUUUUCUUUUUUUUAUCAUCAUCAUCAUCAUUAGUCAUACAUACAAAACAAAAAACUAAAACCUGACAAAAAACCACACCAAUAACAUAAAAACAUCAAAAGUAAACAUCCAUAUUGCACCUAUAGAUCAGACAUUUCGCCAUUGCCUGGUCAUCUAAAUAUCAUCAAAAGAUUGUAGUGAACACUGAUUCACCAUAAACUGUUUCUUCCCCAAAGUUCCUGUCUUUUCCUAGGCCCAAUUAUAUAUAAGCUUUCCAGCUUUCCUUUACAAAGUGUCUUGGCUGAU
RNAcentral lists this long non-coding RNA (501 nucleotides) under Pogona vitticeps (central bearded dragon). RNAcentral's name for it is "lncRNA (ENSPVIG00000006321.1)". The record is from RNAcentral. Lineage: Eukaryota; Metazoa; Chordata; Lepidosauria; Squamata; Agamidae.